Molecule: long non-coding RNA, 946 nt
Organism: Fundulus heteroclitus (mummichog)
Lineage: Eukaryota; Metazoa; Chordata; Actinopteri; Cyprinodontiformes; Fundulidae
Exons: 2
Source: RefSeq, a predicted model, not a curated record
GGAAAUCAAAACAUAAUGUCAGCAAAGCAUCAAAAAAUGCUGGAUAAUAUGAAGUGGAUGUACAUUUAAAGAUCUCUUUAUACCUCUCACACAAAGACACCACCCAGAUCACAGCCUUAAUGUCAUAAAUCAGUACCAGGUUCUGAUCAUAUAUUUUAUCUUCUAAAAACAAAAGACUCAAUUAUCAGAUUUUUUUUCCCCUUUUCUCAUUUUUUAAACACAGACGUAAGAAGUGGAUGAUCUGAUACUGGGUCAUUUUGGCACAUUAGCUACAUUAACCCAGAAAGGCAGUGACCCAGUUAAGCUGUCACUGCUAAAAGCUGCAUGGUGCACUUUCAAGACGCCAUCGUAUCAAAAUAUACAAAACCCCUAUAAACUAUGAAGACCCACCCGGUGGCCUGGAUGUUAAAUUAGUACUAAGUGGAUAUAAAUCUUGAGUUUGUGACGCGCUCGCCUGUGCCCUCUGUGUUGGUGGGCUCCCUGUGUUUGUUUACAUCCAGAUUCUCGCCACAGCCUCAGUGUCUGAGGGCCAUAAACGGACAAAGGUGUUGCAUAAAAGUGGGGCUGCCCACUCAGUGCUCCGGGGGCAGCAACCAGGGGCACAGCACAGCACACAGGCAGAUGCUUUUAAUUAUGUCCAUCUGAAUCUGAAUAGGGACAGAGGGGUCUGGAAAAAGGGGCAGUAGAGCAGAGGGUAAAAGGUUUACGGCGCCACCUUCCCCACCCCCAAACACAGAGCGCAUGCCAAGCUCGCACAAACAGUGUUUAAUCCUGCAGUAAGCCAUGCAGCAGAUGGUCUGUGGACUCGCCUGUCAUGUCUGAGAAAGUCUCCCUCUCUCACACACACACAUACACACACACACACACACACUCUCUGAGCCUUACAUGGCUCGCAUACACCCCUCAGUGUCCAAGGGCAGGAACUGCACAAACAGACCAGAAAAAA